RNAcentral lists this ribosomal RNA (497 nucleotides) under uncultured bacterium. RNAcentral describes it as "partial 16S ribosomal RNA". It matches the Rfam family "Bacterial small subunit ribosomal RNA", at positions 28 to 507 of the family's 1533-position model. The record is from RNAcentral.
GAUGAACGCUGGCGGCGUGCCUAAUACAUGCAAGUCGAGCGAACAGACGAGGAGCUUGCUCCUCUGACGUUAGCGGCGGACGGGUGAGUAACACGUGGAUAACCUACCUAUAAGACUGGGAUAACUUCGGGAAACCGGAGCUAAUACCGGAUAACAUGUUGAACCGCAUGGUUUAACAGUGAAAGACGGUCUUGCUGUCACUUAUAGAUGGAUCCGCGCCGCAUUAGCUAGUUGGUAAGGUAACGGCUUACCAAGGCAACGAUGCGUAGCCGACCUGAGAGGGUGAUCGGCCACACUGGAACUGAGACACGGUCCAGACUCCUACGGGAGGCGGCAGUAGGGAAUCUUCCGCAAUGGGCGAAAGCCUGACGGAGCAACGCCGCGUGAGUGAAGAAGGUCUUCGGAUCGUAAAACUCUGUUAUUAGGGAAGAACAAAUGUGUAAGUAACUAUGCACGUCUUGACGGUACCUAAUCAGAAAGCCACGGCUAACUACGUG